AACAGGAUUAGAUACCCUGGUAGUCCACGCCGUAAACGAUGUCGACUUGGAGGUUGUUCCCUUGAGGAGUGGCUUCCGGAGCUAACGCGUUAAGUCGACCGCCUGGGGAGUACGGCCGCAAGGUUAAAACUCAAAUGAAUUGACGGGGGCCCGCACAAGCGGUGGAGCAUGUGGUUUAAUUCGAUGCAACGCGAAGAACCUUACCUACUCUUGACAUCCACGGAAUUUGGCAGAGAUGCCUUAGUGCCUUCGGGAACCGUGAGACAGGUACUGCAUGGCUGUCGUCAGCUCGUGUUGUGAAAUGUUGGGUUAAGUCCCGCAACGAGCGCAACCCUUAUCCUUUGUUGCCAGCGAUUCGGUCGGGAACUCAAAGGAGACUGCCGGUGAUAAACCGGAGGAAGGUGGGGAUGACGUCAAGUCAUCAUGGCCCUUACGAGUAGGGCUACACACGUGCUACAAUGGCGCAUACAAAGAGAAGCGAUCUCGCGAGAGCAAGCGGACCUCACAAAGUGCGUCGUAGUCCGGAUCGGAGUCUGCAACUCGACUCCGUGAAGUCGGAAUCGCUAGUAAUCGUGGAUCAGAAUGCCACGGUGAAUACGUUCCCGGGCCUUGUACACACCGCCCGUCACACCAUGGGAGUGGGUUGCAAAAGAAGUAGGUAGCUUAACCUUCGGGAGGGCGCUUACCACUUUGUGAUUCAUGACUGGGGUGAAGUCGUAACAAGGUAACC
Molecule: ribosomal RNA, 730 nt
Filed under: uncultured bacterium
Lineage: Bacteria
Description: bacterial SSU rRNA
Rfam family: Bacterial small subunit ribosomal RNA
Source: RNAcentral